UACGUAGGGUGCAAGCGUUGUCCGGAAUUAUUGGGCGUAAAGAGCUCGUAGGCGGUUUGUUGCGUCGGCUGUGAAAUCCCGAGGCUCAACCUCGGGUCUGCAGUCGAUACGAGCAAACUAGAGUGUUGCAGGGGAGACUGGAAUUCCUGGUGUAGCGGUGAAAUGCGCAGAUAUCAGGAGGAACACCGAUGGCGAAGGCAGGUCUCUGGGCCACUACUGACGCUGAGAAGCGAAAGCGUGGGGAGCGAACAGG
Molecule: ribosomal RNA, 253 nt
Filed under: uncultured bacterium
Lineage: Bacteria
Description: partial 16S ribosomal RNA
Rfam family: Bacterial small subunit ribosomal RNA
Source: RNAcentral